RNAcentral lists this ribosomal RNA (494 nucleotides) under uncultured bacterium. RNAcentral's name for it is "partial 16S ribosomal RNA". It matches the Rfam family "Bacterial small subunit ribosomal RNA", at positions 28 to 507 of the family's 1533-position model. The record is from RNAcentral.
GACGAACGCUGGCGGCGUGCUUAACACAUGCAAGUCGAACGGUGAAGCGCCUUCCUUUUUGGUGGGUGUGGAUGAGUGGCGAACGGGUGAGUAACACGUGAGUAACCUGCCCCCUUCUUCUGGAUAACCGCAUGAAAGUGUGGCUAAUACGGGAUAUUCUGGGUCUGUCGCAUGAUGGGUCUGGGAAAGAUAUUGUUUCGGUGGGGGAUGGGCUCGCGGCCUAUCAGCUUGUUGGUGGGGUGAUGGCCUACCAAGGCGGUGACGGGUAGCCGGCCUGAGAGGGUGGACGGUCACACUGGGCCUGAGACACGGCCCGGACUCCUACGGGAGGCAGCAGUGGGGAAUAUUGCACAAUGGGCGCAAGCCUGAUGCAGCGACGCCGCGUGAGGGAUGGAGGCCUUCGGGUUGUGAACCUCUUUCGCCAGUGAAGCAGGCCUGCCUCGUUUGUGGGUGGGUUGACGGUAGCUGGAUAAGAAGCGCCGGCUAACUACGUG